This 21-nucleotide small nuclear RNA is filed under the name Arabidopsis thaliana (thale cress). RNAcentral's name for it is "snRNA_15158". Lineage: Eukaryota; Viridiplantae; Streptophyta; Magnoliopsida; Brassicales; Brassicaceae. The record is from RNAcentral.
AUUGUUUUUAAAAAGAUUGUU